This 2923-nucleotide ribosomal RNA is filed under the name Klebsiella pneumoniae. RNAcentral describes it as "23S ribosomal RNA". It matches the Rfam family "Bacterial large subunit ribosomal RNA". Lineage: Bacteria; Pseudomonadati; Pseudomonadota; Gammaproteobacteria; Enterobacterales; Enterobacteriaceae. The record is from RNAcentral.
GGGUUGUGAGGUUAAGCGACUAAGCGUACACGGUGGAUGCCCUGGCAGUCAGAGGCGAUGAAGGACGUGCUAAUCUGCGAAAAGCGUCGGUAAGGUGAUAUGAACCGUUAUAGCCGGCGAUGUCCGAAUGGGGAAACCCAGUGCAAUUCGUUGCACUAUCGUUAACUGAAUACAUAGGUUAACGAGGCGAACCGGGGGAACUGAAACAUCUAAGUACCCCGAGGAAAAGAAAUCAACCGAGAUUCCCCCAGUAGCGGCGAGCGAACGGGGAGCAGCCCAGAGUCUGAAUCAGCUUGUGUGUUAGUGGAACGGUCUGGAAAGUCCGACGGUACAGGGUGAUAGUCCCGUACACCAAAAUGCACAGGCUGUGAACUCGAAGAGUAGGGCGGGACACGUGGUAUCCUGUCUGAAUAUGGGGGGACCAUCCUCCAAGGCUAAAUACUCCUGACUGACCGAUAGUGAACCAGUACCGUGAGGGAAAGGCGAAAAGAACCCCGGCGAGGGGAGUGAAAAAGAACCUGAAACCGUGUACGUACAAGCAGUGGGAGCACCUUCGGGUGUGACUGCGUACCUUUUGUAUAAUGGGUCAGCGACUUAUAUUCUGUAGCAAGGUUAACCGUAUAGGGGAGCCGCAGGGAAACCGAGUCUUAACUGGGCGUUAAGUUGCAGGGUAUAGACCCGAAACCCGGUGAUCUAGCCAUGGGCAGGUUGAAGGUUGGGUAACACUAACUGGAGGACCGAACCGACUAAUGUUGAAAAAUUAGCGGAUGACUUGUGGCUGGGGGUGAAAGGCCAAUCAAACCGGGAGAUAGCUGGUUCUCCCCGAAAGCUAUUUAGGUAGCGCCUCGUGAAUUCAUCUUCGGGGGUAGAGCACUGUUUCGGCUAGGGGGUCAUCCCGACUUACCAACCCGAUGCAAACUACGAAUACCGAAGAAUGUUAUCACGGGAGACACACGGCGGGUGCUAACGUCCGUCGUGAAGAGGGAAACAACCCAGACCGCCAGCUAAGGUCCCAAAGUCAUGGUUAAGUGGGAAACGAUGUGGGAAGGCACAGACAGCCAGGAUGUUGGCUUAGAAGCAGCCAUCAUUUAAAGAAAGCGUAAUAGCUCACUGGUCGAGUCGGCCUGCGCGGAAGAUGUAACGGGGCUAAACCAUGCACCGAAGCUGCGGCAGCGACACUAUGUGUUGUUGGGUAGGGGAGCGUUCUGUAAGCCUGCGAAGGUGACCUGUGAGGGUUGCUGGAGGUAUCAGAAGUGCGAAUGCUGACAUAAGUAACGAUAAAGCGGGUGAAAAGCCCGCUCGCCGGAAGACCAAGGGUUCCUGUCCAACGUUAAUCGGGGCAGGGUGAGUCGACCCCUAAGGCGAGGCCGAAAGGCGUAGUCGAUGGGAAACAGGUUAAUAUUCCUGUACUUGGUGUUACUGCGAAGGGGGGACGGAGAAGGCUAUGUUAGCCGGGCGACGGUUGUCCCGGUUUAAGCAUGUAGGCUGGUUGUCCAGGCAAAUCCGGAUAAUCAAGGCUGAGGUGUGAUGACGAGGCACUACGGUGCUGAAGUAACAAAUGCCCUGCUUCCAGGAAAAGCCUCUAAGCAUCAGGUAACAUCAAAUCGUACCCCAAACCGACACAGGUGGUCAGGUAGAGAAUACCAAGGCGCUUGAGAGAACUCGGGUGAAGGAACUAGGCAAAAUGGUGCCGUAACUUCGGGAGAAGGCACGCUGGUGUGUAGGUGAAGUCCCUGCGGAUGGAGCUGAGACCAGUCGAAGAUACCAGCUGGCUGCAACUGUUUAUUAAAAACACAGCACUGUGCAAACACGAAAGUGGACGUAUACGGUGUGACGCCUGCCCGGUGCCGGAAGGUUAAUUGAUGGGGUUAUCCGUAAGGAGAAGCUCUUGAUCGAAGCCCCGGUAAACGGCGGCCGUAACUAUAACGGUCCUAAGGUAGCGAAAUUCCUUGUCGGGUAAGUUCCGACCUGCACGAAUGGCGUAAUGAUGGCCAGGCUGUCUCCACCCGAGACUCAGUGAAAUUGAACUCGCUGUGAAGAUGCAGUGUACCCGCGGCAAGACGGAAAGACCCCGUGAACCUUUACUAUAGCUUGACACUGAACAUUGAGCCUUGAUGUGUAGGAUAGGUGGGAGGCUUUGAAGCGUGGACGCCAGUCUGCGUGGAGCCAACCUUGAAAUACCACCCUUUAAUGUUUGAUGUUCUAACGUUGGCCCCUUAUCGGGGUUGCGGACAGUGUCUGGUGGGUAGUUUGACUGGGGCGGUCUCCUCCCAAAGCGUAACGGAGGAGCACGAAGGUUAGCUAAUCCUGGUCGGACAUCAGGAGGUUAGUGCAAUGGCAUAAGCUAGCUUGACUGCGAGCGUGACGGCGCGAGCAGGUGCGAAAGCAGGUCAUAGUGAUCCGGUGGUUCUGAAUGGAAGGGCCAUCGCUCAACGGAUAAAAGGUACUCCGGGGAUAACAGGCUGAUACCGCCCAAGAGUUCAUAUCGACGGCGGUGUUUGGCACCUCGAUGUCGGCUCAUCACAUCCUGGGGCUGAAGUAGGUCCCAAGGGUAUGGCUGUUCGCCAUUUAAAGUGGUACGCGAGCUGGGUUUAGAACGUCGUGAGACAGUUCGGUCCCUAUCUGCCGUGGGCGCUGGAGAAUUGAGGGGGGCUGCUCCUAGUACGAGAGGACCGGAGUGGACGCAUCACUGGUGUUCGGGUUGUCAUGCCAAUGGCACUGCCCGGUAGCUAAAUGCGGAAGAGAUAAGUGCUGAAAGCAUCUAAGCACGAAACUUGCCCCGAGAUGAGUUCUCCCUGAGACUUUAAGUCUCCUGAAGGAACGUUGAAGACGACGACGUUGAUAGGCCGGGUGUGUAAGCGCAGCGAUGCGUUGAGCUAACCGGUACUAAUGAACCGUGAGGCUUAACCUUACAACGCCGAAG